Corticium candelabrum is the source of this 537-nucleotide long non-coding RNA. RefSeq lists it as uncharacterized. NCBI's taxonomy places the organism in Eukaryota, Metazoa, Porifera, Homoscleromorpha, Homosclerophorida, Plakinidae. The transcript is spliced from 4 exons. The record is from RefSeq and is a predicted model, not a curated record.
CUCUUUGGUUGUGACGAUGGCUACUUUCUUGUUGGUCACUCAAACUUAACUUGCCAGCCAAAUGGAGAGUGGGAUGGAAAUCCACCUUCUUGCGAAGUUUUAGAUUGCGGUUGUAACAUUGCUGGUUCUCAAAUAUCAGCCAAUGGGAGCUGUAAUACUACAACAGGACAGUGUUCAUGCAAAGAAAAUGUUGAAGGAGUAAAGUGUAACACCUGCAAAGCAACAUUUUUUAAUCUGCAAACAGCCAAUCCAGUUGGCUGUGAAGCAUGUAACUGUAAUCUCAAUGGAUCCACAGCUCUUUCGAUCGGAGCAUGUGAUGUUCAUUCUGGUCAGUGUGUUUGCAAAGAAGGUGUGACUGGUGUGAAGUGUUCUGUUUGUGAGGAUGGCUUCUACUUGACAUCUCCUGAUGAUACUAGCAGUUGUCAGUCGUGUAGUUGUUCUCUGUCGUCUUCAGUUUUACUGACAUGUGACAAGAUUUCAGGCCAAUGUAUUUGCAAAUCUGGUCUGACUGGACGUACUUGCAACAUUAUCGAAGAC